AUCGCUUCUCGGCCUUUUGGCUAAGAUCAAAGUGAUCUGUUCUUUUUAUAUUAUGUUAUUAAUACUGUUUAAUAUAAUUAAUAUUAUAACGGCAAAAGAUCUAAU
Molecule: small nuclear RNA, 105 nt
Filed under: Rhodnius prolixus
Lineage: Eukaryota; Metazoa; Arthropoda; Insecta; Hemiptera; Reduviidae
Description: U2 spliceosomal RNA
Rfam family: U2 spliceosomal RNA
About the family: U2 is a small nuclear RNA (snRNA) component of the spliceosome (involved in pre-mRNA splicing). Complementary binding between U2 snRNA (in an area lying towards the 5' end but 3' to hairpin I) and the branchpoint sequence (BPS) of the intron results the bulging out of an unpaired adenosine, on the BPS, which initiates a nucleophilic attack at the intronic 5' splice site, thus starting the first of two transesterification reactions that mediate splicing.
Source: Rfam by way of RNAcentral